Molecule: small nuclear RNA, 179 nt
Filed under: Strongyloides venezuelensis
Lineage: Eukaryota; Metazoa; Nematoda; Chromadorea; Rhabditida; Strongyloididae
Description: U2 spliceosomal RNA
Rfam family: U2 spliceosomal RNA
About the family: U2 is a small nuclear RNA (snRNA) component of the spliceosome (involved in pre-mRNA splicing). Complementary binding between U2 snRNA (in an area lying towards the 5' end but 3' to hairpin I) and the branchpoint sequence (BPS) of the intron results the bulging out of an unpaired adenosine, on the BPS, which initiates a nucleophilic attack at the intronic 5' splice site, thus starting the first of two transesterification reactions that mediate splicing.
Source: Rfam by way of RNAcentral
AUCGCUUCUCGAGCUUUUUAGCUCAGAUCAAAGUGUAGUAUCUGUUCUUAUCAGCUUAAUCUCUGGUACAACCAUCAUUGAUGGUUUUGAGUGGGACCUGAGUGUUUGUUGGGGCUUGCCCCUCAUCGCUCACUGGUCGGCCCGGUCUUGCACCUACCUCCGGGAACGGCCUAAAAUUA